ACAAACCACGAAGGCAAGUCAUAGAGGCAAAGGGAAGGUGACGCCUUUCUUCCAGGAUUUUCGUAUUUUUAUAUAUUAUCACAAUUAAGAAUGUGUUACUCUGCAGAUUUAUCAAUGAAUCGAACGAAGCUGUAGAAUGAAAUUUAUGCAGCUCGCCCCCGAUUUAUUGAGAAUAGGGCUUGAGGGGUUGUUCGUUUAUGAAUUUUUCUUCCUUUUUUUCAAUUGUGUUUGUGUCGUUUGGUGGUUCAUGAAGUAAAUCCAUUAUUCCUCCUGCAGUUGUUUCCUGAUCUUUCCGUUUUGUUGUCUCUCUUUUAAUUUCAAAAGAGCAAUAUGU
Molecule: long non-coding RNA, 334 nt
Filed under: Olea europaea subsp. europaea
Lineage: Eukaryota; Viridiplantae; Streptophyta; Magnoliopsida; Lamiales; Oleaceae
Source: RNAcentral